Long non-coding RNA from Helianthus annuus (common sunflower), 428 nucleotides. RefSeq lists it as uncharacterized. The transcript is spliced from 3 exons. The record is from RefSeq and is a predicted model, not a curated record. NCBI's taxonomy places the organism in Eukaryota, Viridiplantae, Streptophyta, Magnoliopsida, Asterales, Asteraceae.
GGCUGUGUGGUCGCGACCAGAGAAAGGAGAAAGGGGGGAACCCUAAUUUCAUCAAUCAACCUCAAGAAUUCAGCAAGAUUGUGAAGGAUUAGAGUCAUAAAUCGCAUGCUAGUGUUUAAAUACUCUCUAAUCCAAGUGUUUUGAACAUAAGGAGUGAAAGAAGAAGGAGCUAGUUCCGGUUCACAACAAAAGGCUCAAGAUCGAGGUAAAGCACAAGUUUAAUCGCCGUUGCGUCACUCGGAUAUGAACACACCUUGAUCACCCGUGAUACGCUUCCGCCUCUUUUGUAGUAAUUUCAAGUGUUAAAAGUUUUGAAAUGUCUAGAUGUGUUGAAGUCUUUAAUCUUUCACUAGUUGUUUGCAAGUAUUUGGUACUUAGAACUCAAUGUUUGAAAUGGUGGUUGAAAAUGUCAUGUUCUUUUGGUGUUU